GAUGAACGCUGGCGGCGUGCCUAACACAUGCAAGUCGAACGGAGAUUACGGACGGAAGUUUUCGGAUGGAAGCCUGUAAUUCUUAGUGGCGGACGGGUGAGUAACGCGUGGGCAACCUGCCCUAUACAGGGGGAUAGCAGCUGGAAACGGCUGGUAAGACCGCAUAAGUCGGUUAAAUCGCAUGAUUUGAUCGGGAAAUGAGCAAUCAGGUAUAGGAUGGGCCCGCGUCCGAUUAGCCAGUUGGCAGGGUAAAAGCCUACCAAAGCGACGAUCGGUAGCCGGACUGAGAGGUCGGACGGCCACAUUGGGACUGAGACACGGCCCAAACUCCUACGGGAGGCAGCAGUGGGGGAUAUUGCACAAUGGAGGAAACUAUGAUGCAGCGACGCCGCGUGAGUGAAGAAGUAUUUCGGUAUGUAAAGCUCUAUCAGCAGGGAAGAUGAUGACGGUACCUGACGAAGAAGCCCCGGCUAACUACGUG
Molecule: ribosomal RNA, 481 nt
Filed under: uncultured bacterium
Lineage: Bacteria
Description: partial 16S ribosomal RNA
Rfam family: Bacterial small subunit ribosomal RNA
Source: RNAcentral